AUUGAACGCUGGCGGAAUGCUUUACACAUGCAAGUCGAACGGCAGCACGGACUUCGGUCUGGUGGCGAGUGGCGAACGGGUGAGUAAUACAUCGGAACGUAUCCAAUAAUGGGGGAUAACUAAUCGAAAGGUUGGCUAAUACCGCAUACGUCCUACGGGAGAAAGCUAGGGACCUUCGGGCCUGGCGUUAAUGGAGCGGCCGAUAUCGGAGUAGCUAGUUGGUGAGGUAAAGGCUCACCAAGGCGACGAUCCGUAGCUGGUCUGAGAGGACGACCAGCCACACUGGAACUGGGACACGGUCCAGACUCCUACGGGAGGCAGCAGUGGGGAAUUUUGGACAAUGGGCGAAAGCCUGAUCCAGCCAUUCCGCGUGAGUGAAGAAGGCCUUCGGGUUGUAAAGCUCUUUCGCAAGAGAAGAAAACUUACCCUCUAACAUAGGGUGAGGUUGACGGUAUCUUGAUAAGAAGCACCGGCUAACUACGUGCCAGCCGCCGCAGUAA
This 500-nucleotide ribosomal RNA is filed under the name uncultured bacterium. Its description in RNAcentral is "partial 16S ribosomal RNA". It matches the Rfam family "Bacterial small subunit ribosomal RNA", at positions 30 to 523 of the family's 1533-position model. The record is from RNAcentral.